AACGUAGGAGACAAACGUUAUCCGGAGUUACUGGGCGUAAAGGGCGUGUAGGCGGUCGACUAAGUCUGGCGUGAAAGCUCGCGGCUAAACCGCGAGAGGUCGUUGGAUACUGGUUGACUAGAGGACGGUAGAGGCGUGUGGAAUUCCUGGUGUAGCGGUGAAAUGCGCAGAUAUCAGGAGGAACACCGGUGGCGAAGGCGGUUCUCUGGGCAUGACCUGACGCUGAGGAGCGAAAGUGUGGGGAGCGAACAGG
This 253-nucleotide ribosomal RNA is filed under the name uncultured bacterium. Its description in RNAcentral is "partial 16S ribosomal RNA". It matches the Rfam family "Bacterial small subunit ribosomal RNA", at positions 524 to 776 of the family's 1533-position model. The record is from RNAcentral.